CAUCGUUGGCCCAAUGCCUUAGCCUUGUGCUAGGCUUUGAGUGGGGCGAAUGUUGGCUUCCCGCGAGCAAGGUCUCACGGUUGGUUGAAAAUUGAGUCCCUGGUGGAGGGCGCCGCGAUGGAUGGUGGUUGAGUAAAAGCUCGAGAUCGAUCGUGCGCGUCACUCGUGCCGGAUUUGGGACUUUGUGACCCAUGGGCUCUGUUGGUCGCCCAUGACGGGA
This 220-nucleotide ribosomal RNA is filed under the name Piptanthus nepalensis. Lineage: Eukaryota; Viridiplantae; Streptophyta; Magnoliopsida; Fabales; Fabaceae. The record is from RNAcentral.